AAUAAACCAAUCUUUUACUUUUACCUAUAAUUUUUAACUCUUCGUCUUAUUAAAAAAAUUUUGUGAUUGAUAUUUUUGUUUUUAUUAGAUGAUCAAUCAUAAAUAGUACUUUACAUGUGACUAAUUUUUUUUAAUUUUCUUAAAAUUUUUUAAAUAAGACGGAUGAUCAAACGUUGGACAUGGAAAC
This 187-nucleotide microRNA precursor is filed under the name Oryza brachyantha (malo sina). RNAcentral's name for it is "MIR812 microRNA precursor family". It matches the Rfam family "MIR812 microRNA precursor family". The record is from Rfam by way of RNAcentral. Lineage: Eukaryota; Viridiplantae; Streptophyta; Magnoliopsida; Poales; Poaceae.